UACGUAGGGGGCAAGCGUUGUCCGGAAUCAUUGGGCGUAAAGCGCGUGUAGGCGGCUCGGUAAGUCCGCUCUGAAAGUCCAGGGCUCAACCCUGGGAUGCGGGUGGAUACUGCCGGGCUCGAGUCCGGAAGAGGCGAGUGGAAUUCCCGGUGUAGCGGUGAAAUGCGCAGAUAUCGGGAGGAACACCAAUGGCGAAGGCAGCUCGCUGGGACGUGACUGACGCUGAGGUGCGAAAGCGUGGGGAGCAAACAGG
This 253-nucleotide ribosomal RNA is filed under the name uncultured bacterium. RNAcentral describes it as "partial 16S ribosomal RNA". It matches the Rfam family "Bacterial small subunit ribosomal RNA", at positions 524 to 776 of the family's 1533-position model. The record is from RNAcentral.